AAUCAACGCUGGCGGCGUGCCUAACACAUGCAAGUCGAACGCGAGGACCUCGCAAGAGGUUAGUAGAGUGGCAAACGGGUGAGUAACACGUGGGUGACCUGCCUUAGAGUGGGGGAUAACGUCCCGAAGGGACGCUAAUACCGCAUAACAUCCUGCCUUUGAAGAGGUGGAGAUCAAAGCUGGGGACCGCAAGGCCUAGCGCUUAAAGAGGGGCCCGCGUCUGAUUAGCAGUUGGUGGGGUAAUGGCUCACCAAGGCAACGAUCAGUAUCCGGCCUGAGAGGGCGGACGGACGCACUGGGACUGAGACACGGCCCAGACUCCUACGGGAGGCAGCAGUGGGGAAUUGUUCGCAAUGGGCGCAAGCCUGACGACGCAACGCCGCGUGGAGGA
This 391-nucleotide ribosomal RNA is filed under the name uncultured bacterium. RNAcentral describes it as "bacterial SSU rRNA". It matches the Rfam family "Bacterial small subunit ribosomal RNA", at positions 29 to 408 of the family's 1533-position model. The record is from RNAcentral.